Sycon ciliatum is the source of this 1371-nucleotide long non-coding RNA. RefSeq lists it as uncharacterized. Lineage: Eukaryota; Metazoa; Porifera; Calcarea; Leucosolenida; Sycettidae. The record is from RefSeq and is a predicted model, not a curated record. The transcript is spliced from 2 exons.
GCAGUGCGUCUGAUCAGAUGUUGCCUGAUGAUUGGUCUUUGCCAUGAAACUCUGAGUAACAACGAAAAAGCCCUACAUUGUAUUUUACUUCCGUUUGCGUGCCUCAUGAGUAUUGUAACACUGUAUGGUGUUCUGCUGUUUAUUGUAGUUUCCAUUGCACAGGUUUAGUGAACAUGACCACGGAAAUUGGCCUCAGUGAUACGCGCACUCCUUUCGAAGCAAGAAUCACGGCUCUAAUUGAGAGGUACAAUCGCCUAGAGAAGCGACUCGCCCAGGACAGGGAGCUGAUCGUGCUCCUGUGUCUGGAGAACGAUGUCGGACAGCUGCUUGAUCGGCUAGAGACAGGAUAUCCAUCCUACGGUCUCCGGACAGGUAAAAUGAUAGCCGAAUGCACGGAGUCUCCUGAAAAGUAUCAAGCACCAGUGUGCUAUGCUCUGCAUUCAACACCGAUGGAAAAGCAUCCUGAUGAAUCUACAGCUUCGCCUUGGCCGCCACUUCCCGUACAGGAGACAUCUGUGAAGCCAGGCUACGGCUAGCAACCUGUAACACUCUCAGCAUACAUGUACAUGCACAUUGUACAUUAUCCUGGAGUGAAUGUUCAGUAUGGUAUAUUGUACAUUAUCCUGGAGUGAAUGUUCAGUAUGGUAUAUUGUACAUUAUCCUGGAGUGAAUGUUCAGUAUGGUAUAUUGUACAUUAUCCUGCAGUGAAUGUUCAGUAUGGUAUAUUGUACGAGUUACAUGUACAAUGUGCAAGUACAAAGUCAUGUUCUUGUAUACAUGUACAGUGUAUGUUCGCAGCUGAAACUUUUUAAACUUCAGUUUCUUUUCCCCUUGGCCCUUUUCCCUUUUUUGAAGACGAUUAUUAAGAUGUUUGCGUAGAUUAGUUCAGGUAUCCUUGCUGCAUCGCUAGAUUAUAGUUCACUUUAUCGGCCACAGAUCAAACGCACUGCAAGCCUCCUUCCCGCAAGCGCGAAAACACAGGCACACAUACACACAUACAUGUACACACACACACUCACACAUACACACACACACUCACACAUACACACACACACAAUCACAUCCGCUCAUGCACAAACAUGUAGACAUUUGCUCGCACAAACACACACACAUGCACGCAAACAGUCACCAUUUUUGCCUGCACAUUUUUGUGGAGUAAAUCUGGGUUAAAAAAACUCAAAAUGUUAACACAUGUUUCGGUACACGUAUCCCAAUUCAUAACAUUGUAGAACGAGGAGAAAAGAUUUUUUUGUUUGAACGUUCUAAUAUCUGCUUCGUUUAGUAAGAAAUUUGAAUCGCAAUGAUAAAACCUUUGUCAGUUUGUCUCCAAAUCCCUUAUACAUGUACAAAAUAUACAAUGUAUGUUUUCUA